GAAAGGAGAGAAGUAGUGUGAAUUGCAGAAUUCAGUGAAUCAUCGAAUCUUUGAACGCACAUUGCGCCCUUUGGUAUUCCUUAGGGCAUGCCUGUUCGAGCGUCAUUUAAACCUUCAAGCUCAGCUUGGUGUUGGGUGACUGUCCGCUUCACCGCGGACUCGCCUCAAAAUUAUUGGCGGCCGGUACAUUGGCUCUCGAGCGCAGCAGAAACGCGUAACUCGAGGUCCUCGUGCUGGCUCCCAGAAGCUAUCUUCACAAUUUUGACCUCGGAUCAGGUAGGGAUACCCGCUGAACUUAAGC
RNAcentral lists this unclassified non-coding RNA (301 nucleotides) under plant metagenome. RNAcentral describes it as "partial contains 5.8S ribosomal RNA, internal transcribed spacer 2, and large subunit ribosomal RNA". The stretch from base 1 to 105 matches the Rfam family "5.8S ribosomal RNA", at positions 50 to 154 of the family's 154-position model. The record is from RNAcentral.